RNAcentral lists this long non-coding RNA (206 nucleotides) under Mytilus galloprovincialis (Mediterranean mussel). Lineage: Eukaryota; Metazoa; Mollusca; Bivalvia; Mytilida; Mytilidae. The record is from RNAcentral.
CAUAUUGAUUGAUUGUUUCGUUGUUUAACAUCCAAAGGCACAUAUUUGAUGCAUUUAAGGCAGGCAAAUAUUCAGUAUAAAGAUAAAUGGUAAAAAAAAUAAAAGAUUUAGAUAUAGAAAUAUAGAAAUUAUUAUCUGAGCUCACCUCCGCUAAAAAAAACUCACUCGUACUUGCAUACAUUCAUCUAAAAAAAUCUGGAUCCGCC